This 552-nucleotide ribosomal RNA is filed under the name Amolops chunganensis (Chungan torrent frog). RNAcentral's name for it is "partial 16S ribosomal RNA". It matches the Rfam family "Bacterial large subunit ribosomal RNA", at positions 1829 to 2597 of the family's 2925-position model. Lineage: Eukaryota; Metazoa; Chordata; Amphibia; Anura; Ranidae. The record is from RNAcentral.
CGCCUCUUGACUAAACAUAAGAGGUCCAGCCUGCCCAGUGACAUAGUUUAACGGCCGCGGUACCCUAACCGUGCGAAGGUAGCAUAAUCACUUGUUCUUUAAAUAGGGACUUGUAUCAACGGCAUCACGAGGGCUGUACUGUCUCCUUUCUCCAAUCAGUGAAAUUGAUCUCCCCGUGAAGAAGCGGGGAUGAACCUAUAAGACGAGAAGACCCCAUGGAGCUUUAAACCCAUCAUACACCUCUGUAUAUUUAAAUCAACAUAACCCAAGAGGCUGUAUGCUGGUUUUAGGUUGGGGGGACCGCGGAGUAAAACUAAACCUCCACGACAGACGGGCUAACACCCUUAUUUACGAACCACAAUUCUAAAAACCAAUAAAUUGUUGUCUAGUGACCCAAUAUUUGAUCAACGAACCAAGUUACCCUGGGGAUAACAGCGCAAUCUACUUCAAGAGCCCCUAUCGACAAGUGGGUUUACGACCUCGAUGUUGGAUCAGGGUGUCCUAGUGGUGCAGCCGCUACUAAAGGUUCGUUUGUUCAACGAUUAAAACCCU